AGUGUGUUUUCUACUUAUCUCUGUGUGUAGUACACUAUCUGUGAGUGCCUGCCCACAGAAAUAUGUAGGCCUCCUGUAGCUGCCUUGUUCCUGUGCACCAAGGAAGCUGGAGGGAGCCAGGCUGGGGGCCUAAGAAGCCCAGACCCUAUAUUCUGUCAGGGUGAGGGGCCUCUGCAACUCCCCAGCGCUGACAGUGAGCCCACUUCACCCUCAGCUGCUGGGCCUCUCUAUGGCCACCAUGGUGGUUGUCAUUCACUUUGGAGACCACUUUACUGUGAUUGGCCAUGCAUCGUUGGAGAGGAACCCCUAUGAAACACUGCGCUAUUGGGGUAAGUGAGACCAGAAAUGGCUGUGGAGUGGAAGUGAGAGGGCUCCAGGGCCAAACACAUCUGGGAGGAACAGACCUUACUCCCCAGCCCUAGGCUGCCCAGAGGAGCUGGCUUUGGCCAAAAACCAGAGGUCAGGAGUAGGGAGAGGCAGCCCCAGUGUCUGGGUUGGACUAACAAAGGUGGGGAGGUUUAGGCGACAGCAGGCACUCCUGCCUUGAUUCGCCUGCCCCAUAGCAGUGGUGAAGCUGUGGCAGGGCCCAGAUCUAUGUGUUCAGGGCAGGGAUCUCCUGGGGCCCACUCAGGUGGGCCUGUGGGGCUUGGCAGGGAAUACCAUAUACAGAGGGCAGAAAAUGUGCAGCUAGGACCCAACCUGCCAGGGUGCCUCACUUCCACAAGAACAAGGCCACUUUAAUAAGAGGAAUGCAAGGAAUCUAGGAAGGUCACCACCCAGUAGGAAAAAGUGGAAAACUGAGGCCCCUGAAUGGGGGAUGGGUAGCCCCAGUCCCUGCCUUCCAAGGCACUAGGCCUCCCUUAGGCAGGAAGCCUGGGGCCUGGGCCUGCACUGAUAAGGUACAGCCUACACUGUCACCUGUCACUAGAGUAUGGGGAUGUCCUUAAAGAUAGUCUGUGAGGCAGGGAGGACAGGAGGAAUGGGGGAAAGAGUACUGUCUCUUAGCUACCUUCUCUUCCCCCUUCCUUCUCAGCCUCAGGAGGACAGGCUAUUGGGCUAUGGACAUUCCUUCUUUUGAGCCAGAGAUAUGUGCCUUUUGGGACCUCCCCGAAGGUCAGUUCUAGCUCUGUGACUCCCAAAGUAGAUAGAUUUCAGAUCCAACCUCUAUGCCCAGUCCCCAGGCUAGAUUCCAUACCCUCUGUCUUUCUCUUCCCACAGCCUUCUAUGUGGGGAUCAGCCUAGCGGGGCUCCUGAGCCUGGGAGCUGCUCUGAGCACCAUAGCCACUGUGAGGGAGGCCCAUGGCCUCAUGGCUGCGGUAAGUUCCAUGUGCUGCCAGACGACCCCGGCUCCCAGACCUCAGACGGGGACAAGAGCUGGAGAGGAAUAAGACCAGGGAGCUGCCUGACCCCAGCAGAAGUAUCCAGAAAGAAGCAAAGGUCAGGGGAUAUAGACCAGUGAGUCCCUCCACUUACACAGUCAGGACCUUCCACUUGCUCAAUCAGGACCCUCCUACCUGGACCAG
Molecule: long non-coding RNA, 1523 nt
Filed under: Mus musculus (house mouse)
Lineage: Eukaryota; Metazoa; Chordata; Mammalia; Rodentia; Muridae
Description: long non-coding RNA chr7:143005689-143007212
Source: RNAcentral